UACGGAGGGUGCGAGCGUUAAUCGGAAUUACUGGGCGUAAAGGGUGCGUAGGCGGCCAGGUAAGUCAGGAGUGAAAGUUUGCGGCUCAACCGUAAAAUUGCUUUUGAUACUGCCAGGCUAGAAUUAGGAUGAGGUCAGCGGAAUGUGGCAUGUAGCGGUGAAAUGCAUAGAUAUGCCAUAGAACACCAAUUGCGAAGGCAGCUGGCUAGACCUGGAUUGACGCUGAGGCACGAAAGCGUGGGGAGCGAACAGG
RNAcentral lists this ribosomal RNA (253 nucleotides) under uncultured bacterium. RNAcentral's name for it is "partial 16S ribosomal RNA". It matches the Rfam family "Bacterial small subunit ribosomal RNA", at positions 524 to 776 of the family's 1533-position model. The record is from RNAcentral.